RNAcentral lists this ribosomal RNA (1106 nucleotides) under Sphingobacterium sp. RNAcentral's name for it is "bacterial SSU rRNA". It matches the Rfam family "Bacterial small subunit ribosomal RNA", at positions 31 to 1140 of the family's 1533-position model. Lineage: Bacteria; Pseudomonadati; Bacteroidota; Sphingobacteriia; Sphingobacteriales; Sphingobacteriaceae. The record is from RNAcentral.
GAAGGCCAGCGCGGCUAUACAUGCAAGUCGGACGGGAUCCAUCGAUAGCUUGCUAUCAAUGGUGAGAGUGGCGCACGGGUGCGUAACGCGUGAGCAACCUGCCUCCAUCAGGGGGAUAGCCUCUCGAAAGAGAGAUUAACACCGCAUAACAUAUUGUUCCGGCAUCGGAGGAUUAUUAAAUAUUUAUAGGAUGGAGAUGGGCUCGCGUGACAUUAGCUUGUUGGUGGGGUAACGGCUUACCAAGGCGACGAUGUCUAGGGGCUCUGAGAGGAGAAUCCCCCACACUGGUACUGAGACACGGACCAGACUCCUACGGGAGGCAGCAGUAAGGAAUAUUGGUCAAUGGGCGGAAGCCUGAACCAGCCAUGCCGCGUGCAGGAUGACUGCCCUAUGGGUUGUAAACUGCUUUUGUCCGGGAAUAAACCUCCUUACGAGUAGGGAGCUGAAUGUACCGGAAGAAUAAGGAUCGGCUAACUCCGUGCCAGCAGCCGCGGUAAUACGGAGGAUCCGAGCGUUAUCCGGAUUUAUUGGGUUUAAAGGGUGCGUAGGCGGCCUGUUAAGUCAGGGGUGAAAUACGGUGGCUCAACCAUCGCAGUGCCUUUGAUACUGACGGGCUUGAAUCCAUAUGAAGUGGGCGGAAUAAGACAAGUAGCGGUGAAAUGCAUAGAUAUGUCUUAGAACUCCGAUUGCGAAGGCAGCUCACUAAGCUGGUAUUGACGCUGAUGCACGAAAGCGUGGGGAUCGAACAGGAUUAGAUACCCUGGUAGUCCACGCCCUAACGAUGAUAACUCGAUGUUGGCGAUAGACAGCCAGCGUCCCAGCGAAAGCGUUAAGUUAUCCACCUGGGGAGUACGCCCGCAAGGGUGAAACUCAAAGGAAUUGACGGGGGCCCGCACAAGCGGAGGAGCAUGUGGUUUAAUUCGAUGAUACGCGAGGAACCUUACCCGGGCUUGAAAGUUAGUGGAGGAUGCAGAGACGCAUCCGUCCUUCGGGACACGAAACUAGGUGCUGCAUGGCUGUCGUCAGCUCGUGCCGUGAGUUGUUGGGUAGUCCCGCAACGAGCGCAACCCCUAUGUCUAGUUGCCAGCAUGUAAUGGUGGGGACUC